MicroRNA precursor from Oryza sativa Indica Group (long-grained rice), 205 nucleotides. It matches the Rfam family "MIR812 microRNA precursor family". NCBI's taxonomy places the organism in Eukaryota, Viridiplantae, Streptophyta, Magnoliopsida, Poales, Poaceae. The record is from Rfam.
AAAAAGGCAAACCCUAGAUUUCCGUGUCCAACUUUGACUGUCCGUCUUAUAUGAAAUUUUUUUAUAAUUCGUAUUUUCAUUGUUGUUAGAUGAUAAAACAUGAUUAAUAUUUUAUGCGUGACUUGUCUUUUUAAUUUUUUUCAUAAUUUUUUCAAAUAAGACGGACGGUCAAACGUUGGACAUGGAAACCAAGGUUUAUCUUUUU